ACACACAAAUAUGAAUAAAAUCUGAUUUAAAAGGAAAGUUCAAAUUUGAUUUGAAUGACAUUUCUUAUCUUAAUGAGAUUGGAUCUCAUCCCAACUACCUCCAAGCCAUACCUUAAAAGAGCUCUCUUUUGUGUGACAAAAGAAAGACUCUUUUUACUAUGAGAUCUGAUUUUUCAUCGUGAAAAAUAGGUGCAGUGUGGAGAAUAUUUAGACAUCUGGUGUGGGACGGCAGUGCUUGCUAAAGUCCAAUCUUUCUUGGACUCUUCAAACCCUAACAACCACUCCUAUUUAAAUGGAUGGUGGGAUGCCUCCUCUAGGAGAUUGGCAUGAGAAAGAUUGAGGAGAGGUGUCUUCUCUUAGGGUGUGGGGUCUUAGGAUUUCAUCCUAGGAUUUUAGGUGAGAGA
Molecule: long non-coding RNA, 404 nt
Filed under: Elaeis guineensis (African oil palm)
Lineage: Eukaryota; Viridiplantae; Streptophyta; Magnoliopsida; Arecales; Arecaceae
Description: long non-coding RNA (EGUI_LNC039927)
Source: RNAcentral